AGCGAACGCUGGCGGCAGGCCUAACACAUGCAAGUCGAACGAACCUUUCGGGGUUAGUGGCGGACGGGUGAGUAACACGUGGGAACGUGCCUUUAUGUUCGGAAUAACUCAGGGAAACUUGUGCUAAUACCGAAUGUGCCCUUCGGGGGAAAGAUUAAUCGCCUUUAGAGCGGCCGGCGUCUGAUUAGCUAGUUGGUUGAGGUAAUGGCUCACCAAGGCGACGAUCAGUAGCUGGUCUGAGAGGCUGAUCAGCCACAUUGGGACUGAGACACAGCCCAAACUCCUACGGGAGGCAGGAGUGGGGAAUCUUGCGCAAUGGGCGAAAGCAUGACGCAGCCAUGCCGCGUGAAUGAUGAAGGUCUUAGGAUUGUAAAAUUCUUUCACCGGGGACGAUAAUGACGGUACCCGGAGAAGAAGCCCCGGCUAACUUCGUG
RNAcentral lists this ribosomal RNA (434 nucleotides) under uncultured bacterium. RNAcentral describes it as "partial 16S ribosomal RNA". It matches the Rfam family "Bacterial small subunit ribosomal RNA", at positions 29 to 507 of the family's 1533-position model. The record is from RNAcentral.